RNAcentral lists this transfer RNA (74 nucleotides) under Clostridiales bacterium. RNAcentral describes it as "tRNA-Thr". It matches the Rfam family "tRNA". From Rfam's summary of the family: Transfer RNA (tRNA) molecules are approximately 80 nucleotides in length. Their secondary structure includes four short double-helical elements and three loops (D, anti-codon, and T loops). The record is from RNAcentral. Lineage: Bacteria; Bacillati; Bacillota; Clostridia; Eubacteriales.
GCUGAUAUAGCUCAGUAGGUAGAGCGCUUCCUUGGUAAGGAAGAGGUUCUCGGGUUCGAUUCCCGAUAUCAGCU